AGAGUUGAUCAUGGCUCAGGACGAACGCUGGCGGCGUGCCUAACACAUGCAAGUCGAGCGGGGACAUACGACGGAACCAAAGUUUCGGAUGGAGGUGAGGAUGUAUGUUCUAGCGGCGGACGGGUGAGUAACGCGUGAGCAACCUGUCCCUUACAGGGGGAUAACACAGCGAAAGUUGUACUAAUACCGCAUGAGACCACGGGGAGACAUCUUUCUGAGGUCAAAGGAGCAAUCCGGUAAGGGGUGGGCUCGCGUCCGAUUAGAUAGUUGGUGAGAUAACGGCCCACCAAGUCGACGAUCGGUAGCCGACCUGAGAGGGUGAUCGGCCACAUUGGGACUGAGACACGGCCCAAACUCCUACGGGAGGCAGCAGUGGGGAAUAUUGGGCAAUGGGGGAAACCCUGAUGCAAGCGACGCCGCGUGAGUGAAGAAGUAUUUCGGUAUGUAAAGCUCUAUCAGCAGGGAAGAAAAUGACGGUACCUGACUAAGAAGCCCCGGCUAACUACGUGCCAGCAGCCGC
Molecule: ribosomal RNA, 520 nt
Filed under: uncultured bacterium
Lineage: Bacteria
Description: bacterial SSU rRNA
Rfam family: Bacterial small subunit ribosomal RNA
Source: RNAcentral